RNAcentral lists this long non-coding RNA (229 nucleotides) under Brassica rapa (field mustard). RNAcentral describes it as "long non-coding RNA (BRAP_LNC005896)". Lineage: Eukaryota; Viridiplantae; Streptophyta; Magnoliopsida; Brassicales; Brassicaceae. The record is from RNAcentral.
ACUUUACGAAGAAAAGCAAAUACUAAUAUGCAACAUUCGUAAAAAAAUGGAGCAAAUAACAAGUACUAAUAUUUUUAAAAACAGAUAUUUGAUCUGAUCCGUUAUAUGCUUAUAUUUAAUGAAUUAUAUAUAUAAGUUAUAUAAAUAAUAUAUUCUAUAUAGGUUUUACAAUAUUUUUAUUUACUAAAUUUAUUAAAUUAGAUAUUAGUAUUCAAAAAGCAAAUAUUUU